Molecule: long non-coding RNA, 1276 nt
Filed under: Taeniopygia guttata (zebra finch)
Lineage: Eukaryota; Metazoa; Chordata; Aves; Passeriformes; Estrildidae
Description: lncRNA (ENSTGUG00000020042.1)
Source: RNAcentral
AUGGAAUCUGUAGCCACACUUGUUACAAGAAAAGGCCAAAAGUGUGUAUUUCUGGAAUCUGUGCUGGAGGAAAAAGCACUUAUUUCACACCCUGAUCCUAAAGAUAAUGAAGAUAAUCCAUGUGGUGGAAAGUACCCAGUGAAAGGCUUGGGGAUGCUUCCUACUUGGUGUAACUUAUGCCCGGUUCAGGCAGAAAAUACUCUUGAAGGAACAGGUCAAUCAUAUUUAAUGCUAUUAUGUCUAAUCUGUUUCAACUACUUCAAUCAAAUUUCAAUCCAGACAGAAAGAGAGACAAUCUUCUCAUUCAUUACCAAAGUGUCUUGCUCACUAUAACCAAUGUAUAAAUCACUGCUGGGCAAGAUGGUGGGGAUCUCUCAGAGGUUUAUUAAGAGAGAUGAUUAUACUGCUUCUCCAGAACAAAAUCAUAACUUACUCUGAUGGUGUCAUUAACAAUUUGCUCUCUUUUUCAAGAAUUUAAGGCUGUUCUUUUUAAAAGAACAUAGAUCAGUUGAAGAUAGACUUGGACAGGACAUGCUGGAGUUUUUUGUUUCCAAGUUUUAUCCUCAGCUCAUAUUUCUUACUCUUAGUCAGACAGGUGAAAAAUAAAACUGUCUGUUUAUAUAUGAGUCAGUUAUACAUAGUUCUGGGUAUGCAUAAUUUCUGUAAUAUAAAUAUUUACAUAUUGUGGCAGUAUUUCCUAUUUCUGUCAUAUUUCUAAUGAACCAUUUUUAUGCAUUUCACAAAAUCACAGAAUAUCCUGAUUUGGAAGGGACCCACAAGGAUCAUGAAGUCCAACUUCUAAUUUACUCCUAGAUAUAGUGAGGAGCAUGAUAGAUUUGAGUGUUCUAAAUUAUCUAUCAGCAAGCUCUUCUAUAAAAUAUUUUUUCUUUUAAAUGCUGAUUUUUUAAAAAAAUUCUUUUAAAUGUUCCAGUUAAAGAAGUGGAAGUGCCUGUCCCUUCUGAGAUCCAUCGGGUGGAUGCCAGUCAGUGUUUGAAGCAUUUGGACCAUACUUCUCAUGAAGCUUCUGAUGAACUAAAUUUGAAAGCAUUUUCUGAGGGAUUAACUUCCACUGAAUCACUUUCCAAGUCAAAUAACUUCUUUCUGAAAUGUGAAAGUGCCAAAUCAGACUCUUUUCACCCAGAAUUUCAGAAAGUGUCUGCAGUUUGCAUCAGCUGCUCAAAAAGUUCCAUUUCAGACCCAGAAUUAGAGCUGAAGCAUGGAGAGGACACAGAUGUCAGUGUCCCAGAAGAGUUUGUCUGUGACAGUGGUGAUGUGU